CUGGUUUUAAGACACACAGCAGCAUCUGAUCUGGGUUGGGGGUGGGGCAGGGUGCGAGUUUCCCUUGGGGAAGUCUUCUUGCGCUGGGCGGGGAGAGGUCCCCUAAUUUAUCUAUGACAUGCUUCUGAUACUUAUCUCACUACCUUCCACCCAGACCUCACUCUCCUGGGCUCAGACAAGAAUCCAGUUGCCAGCUGAACAUCUCUUAACUCUCCUUGAUGAGAAGGCCCAAGGAGUCACAGGGGAGCUCGCUACCUCCUCCUCACCCUCCAGGACUCAGAUGAGAUGCCCCUUCCUCCAGAAGCCUUCCCGACAGAGUGUCCUGAGAGAUGCCCCAUCCUGUGACCCACACAGUCCCAUACAGUCUCCAUCAGAAGCUUUAGCAUAUUCUGCUGUGAUUCCUUACCUGUGUCCGUCUCCCCGCAGGACCGCAGGCUUCCUAGGGGCAGAACUGUACCUCUGUGCUAUUCACGGCUGGAUCUCCUGCUCCCGGGUCUGGGCAAGGGGCCUGGGCAGUGCUCUGUCAAUGUCUGUUGAAAGACUACAGGAAUUACCAUGCCAUCCGAGCCCGCAUGCACACGGGUUAUGCACACUGCUGAAUGGUGCUUUUCGUGUGUACUGGCUCAUUUAAUCUUCCCAACAACCCUUGAGGUAGGUACUAUUAUCCUCUUUGUAUAGAUGAGGAAACUGAGGCACCAAGAGUUCAAGAAGCACUAAGUCACGUUCGAGAUGUUAGUCGCUCAGUUUGCAAAAAAGGCAGGAUUGGAACCCAGGCAGUCUGGCUCCAGAAGCCACGCUCAGAACACUUUGCUUCUGCCCCUUGGUCAUACUAAAUUCUGCAACUACAGCUUGGUUUGGAAUUGUUUUGUGGGAGUGAAGGAGGGAAUAUCAAGGAUAGGAGAGAUCCAGAGAAAUGGGGGUCACAUGUUUGCGGCUGUGCUAAGAGCAACUCGGGAAUCCGGAAGCUCUUGCUUGGUUGGAAAGAUCGCGGUCUGCCCGGUGACCCUGUCUGCACAGGAUGUCGGUGACAGCUGGCUCCUUGCCUCUCAUCACUGCUCAGGAGCAACUCCGGUGUCUUCUGAUGGUGUGUGUAGACGGCAAUCAUGCUACUGGGGUCUUCACUCU
Molecule: long non-coding RNA, 1125 nt
Filed under: Mustela putorius furo (domestic ferret)
Lineage: Eukaryota; Metazoa; Chordata; Mammalia; Carnivora; Mustelidae
Description: lncRNA (ENSMPUG00000030713.1)
Source: RNAcentral